CCGCGCGCGCGGGCUUUGGGGACGUGUCGUUUCCGGCCUCCAGCGUGAAGCCGACUGUGGGCUCUGGAAUAGUCGGCGGUUGUGUGUCCUGGUGCUCGAAGCUUAGCCGGGCGACGCUUCGGGAGAGAGGCAGAACCAGCCUCCCAGAGUUGUGGGCUCGGCUGGAUCGCGACUCCGCCAUUAACCCCUCCGCCAACGUCCCCGCUUGUCGUCCUCCCUCGGGCCCUGGUCAGCCUCCCCAGGGCCUGCAGCCUUUGACGCACUUCGAGGUGGAGACCUGGCCUUGGAAAGUACCCGGGGAGCCACUCCGUAGCCUGUGCAAUGAGGAUGGACCCUCCUCACUCGGACCCAUGCUGGCCAUGCUGAAUGGCCCCGCAAAUUCUCGCGAGCUGCGAGGGAAGCAUUGUUGAUCCUCUUGAGAACAUCAGACAGGAUAUUCAUCCGCACCUUGACGACGGCACCAAAGGAUGGUGGAAAGAGAG
RNAcentral lists this long non-coding RNA (482 nucleotides) under Homo sapiens (human). Its description in RNAcentral is "non-protein coding lnc-ZNF329-3:1". Lineage: Eukaryota; Metazoa; Chordata; Mammalia; Primates; Hominidae. The record is from RNAcentral.